Molecule: ribosomal RNA, 500 nt
Filed under: uncultured bacterium
Lineage: Bacteria
Description: partial 16S ribosomal RNA
Rfam family: Bacterial small subunit ribosomal RNA
Source: RNAcentral
AUUGAACGCUGGCGGAAUGCUUUACACAUGCAAGUCGAACGGCAGCACGGACUUCGGUCUGGUGGCGAGUGGCGAACGGGUGAGUAAUGUAUCGGAACGUGCCCAGUCGUGGGGGAUAACGUAGUGAAGAUUACGCUAAUACCGCAUACGAUCUAUGGAUGAAAGCGGGGGAUCGCAAGACCUCGCGCGAUUGGAGCGGCCGAUAUCAGAUUUGGUAGUUGGUGGGGUAAAGGCCCACCAAGCCAACGAUCUGUAGCUGGUCUGAGAGGACGACCAGCCACACUUGAACUGAGACACGGUCCAGACUCCUACGGGAGGCAGCAGUGGGGAAUUUUGGACAAUGGGCGAAAGCCUGAUCCAGCCAUUCCGCGUGCAGGAUGAAGGCCCUCGGGUUGUAAACUGCUUUUGUACAGAACGAAAAGGUUUCUACUAAUACUAGGAGCUCAUGACGGUACUGUAAGAAUAAGCACCGGCUAACUACGUGCCAGCCGCCGCCGUAA